UCAGCCCAUCUCAAGAGGAAAUACUGCAAACCAGCCUGUGUAAUGAAGAGUCACCAGGUAGGCUGCUUCAAGCCAUUGCCAAACCAGAGACUUUAAUAUCCUGGUGUGGCCCAUAUCCCAAAACCACAGGAUAAACAAGGAGUGUCUUCCUGAACCAUUGGUUCUGCUUAGUGUUGGUGAAGUCUCUUGAGGAUGGACUAGAACGCUUGUGGAAAGCUACAGACUGGCCACAGGGACUGUUUGCCUGCAUCGCUCAGCAUGAACACUGUGUGCUGCGUUGGAGUAGAAAUGAGGCCACGUCUAAGUUUAGAGAAGGUGCUUCAGGAGGCGAUGUGCUAACUGAUGUUAGAAAUCAGAGGGCUGCUAAAAGACAAAUGGAGCACCGCGAUGUAAGCUGCCAUUCAUUCGUUCUUUCCUGUCUCACUCAGCAAAGGUUUACGGAGUAUUGCCUAUGCUGGGCACUAUCCUAUGCAUAAGUUCACAAGAAUAAUACUCAAAAUUAGGUCAUCUUACGAAAACUAAGAAAUUCCAAAUAUAGUUUCACAGAUAAACUUGUGUUGUUAUAGUCCACUGUAAGAUGUAAGAUUUUUCAGAACCAUCUGACAACGGAAAAGUAAAUGUCCGGUGAAAUCCCAGGAAGCAAUUUCUUUGUGGACACAGUUCUCAGAAAGUAGAGUUGUCCAAGUUCCCAUCGCAAUAAAGCAGCACCGCG
This 712-nucleotide long non-coding RNA is filed under the name Equus caballus (horse). Its description in RNAcentral is "lncRNA (ENSECAG00000055086.1)". Lineage: Eukaryota; Metazoa; Chordata; Mammalia; Perissodactyla; Equidae. The record is from RNAcentral.